AGGGUGUAAACGCUGCAGACUUGGUGUUGGGAACCCUUCGGGGUGGCUCAGUGCCGGAGAGAAGUUGUUAAGUCUGCUACUUGGGGAGUACGUCCGCAAGGAUGAAACUUAAAGGAAUUGGCGGGGGAGGCACCGCAACGGGAGGAGCGUGCGGUUUAAUUGGACUCAACGCCGGGAAGCUCACCGGAUAAGACAGCGGAAUGAUUGCCGGGCUGAAGACUCUGCAUGACUAGCUGAGAGGAGGUGCAUGGCGUAGACGUCU
This 262-nucleotide ribosomal RNA is filed under the name uncultured archaeon. RNAcentral describes it as "partial 16S ribosomal RNA". It matches the Rfam family "Archaeal small subunit ribosomal RNA", at positions 748 to 1009 of the family's 1478-position model. The record is from RNAcentral.